AACGUAGGAGACAAGCGUUAUCCGAAUUUACUGGGCGUAAAGCGCGUGCAGGUGGUGAGGUAAGUGGAAUGUGAAAACUCCUGGCUCAACUGGGAGAGGCCGUUCCAAACUACCCCACUCGAGGGCGGUAGAGGGAGGUGGAAUUCCCGGUGUAGUGGUGAAAUGCGUAGAUAUCGGGAGGAACACCUGUGGCGAAAGCGGCCUCCUGGACCGCACCUGACGCUCAAACGCGAAAGCUAGGGGAGUGAACGGG
RNAcentral lists this ribosomal RNA (253 nucleotides) under uncultured bacterium. Its description in RNAcentral is "partial 16S ribosomal RNA". It matches the Rfam family "Bacterial small subunit ribosomal RNA", at positions 524 to 776 of the family's 1533-position model. The record is from RNAcentral.